Molecule: ribosomal RNA, 403 nt
Filed under: bacterium
Lineage: Bacteria
Description: partial 16S ribosomal RNA
Rfam family: Bacterial small subunit ribosomal RNA
Source: RNAcentral
UGGGGAAUAUUGCACAAUGGAGGGAACUCUGAUGCAGCGACGCCGCGUGAACGAAGAAGGCUUUCGAGUCGUAAAGUUCUUUUAUAUGGGAAGAUAAUGACGGUACCAUAAGAAAAAGCCCCGGCUAACUACGUGCCAGCAGCCGCGGUAAUACGUAGGGGGCAAGCGUUGUCCGGAAUCACUGGGCGUAAAGGGUUCGCAGGCGGAAAUGCAAGUCAGGUGUAAAAGGCAGUAGCUUAACUACUGUAAGCAUUUGAAACUGCAUAUCUUGAGAAGAGUAGAGGUAAGUGGAAUUUUUAGUGUAGCGGUGAAAUGCGUAGAUAUUAAAAAGAAUACCGGUGGCGAAGGCGACUUACUGGGCUCAUUCUGACGCUGAGGAACGAAAGCGUGGGUAGCAAACAGG